Asterias rubens (European starfish) is the source of this 1244-nucleotide long non-coding RNA. RefSeq lists it as uncharacterized. NCBI's taxonomy places the organism in Eukaryota, Metazoa, Echinodermata, Asteroidea, Forcipulatida, Asteriidae. The record is from RefSeq and is a predicted model, not a curated record. The transcript has 7 exons.
CCGUGCGGAUGGCAGCAUGGCCGUACCUCUCGGCUCUUAUCUUUGGACGUCGCGUUUUCAAUGAACUUUCUUGACAUGAUUGAUAAAUUCAUGAACAUUAUUUGCACCAUACUCAUGUGCAUUCAGAACUGAUUCAGCAACAUAACUGUUGCACUUCUAGACCAAUUAUUGCUUUGAGGCUUGAGUGCUUUGGCAAUGUUGGACGUACAAGACUCAAAAACCCUUGGCAUUUCUCUCGCGGGCCAGAAAAGCUGGGACACCUCUCCAACAUAUUGUUGAGAAUCCGAAUGUGUACCAGCCAGCAGUGAGCUACCAGUUGCCAGCCAAGCUUCAAGCGACUGUUUCUCGAGUUGCAGAUAAAGGGGAACAUCAUUGUGCUCAAUGACUCUCGAGAGUCUGCUACCAGAUGGGCGAUGUUAUCUAUGGAUAUGUGGUAGUGGACGUAUAUUGGAGGUUCACCAAUGGACCAAGUCCUCAUCUUGUUUUUGCCAAACUGGAUGAUGUGGAAGAUGAUUGAAACGCAGAAAAUGAGAAGACGGACAAUGUUAAAACUCCCUCUGAUGUCUCCCAGUUGUGACCCAAGGUCAUGGGUAAAGUACUUGCAACAAAGAUUCAUGAAUGAGAUGAUAAGAAGGAGGUUGUGUGCUGCCAAAUCUUCACUGAGCUGAGGAGAUAAGAAGGAGGUUGUGUGCUGCCAAAUCUUCACUGAGCUGAGGAGAUAAGAAGGAGGUUGUGUGCUGCCAAAUCUUCACUGAGAUGAGGAGAUAAGAAGGAGGUUGUGUGCUGCCAAAUCUUCACUGAAAUGAGGAGAUACCAACCAGCAGGAACUGGCAUGGGCCAUGCAAAAGAUUUGUUUUGAGAAGUCUCUGAUGACGUAUUGAUUACAACUGGAGAUGUUUGAAGGAACAUUGCUGGAGGAUACGGGGAAUGGUGACUUCAACCAGACCCAUUUGGAUGAGCAUCAAUGGAGGAUACUCAUGCAUUGAGCCAACUAGACCACUUGAUUGAGAUAAUGACAUUGGAGAUGAGAUAUACUUUUUGGACUAUUGUACCACCAGCUGCUCUGUCAAGUCUAGCCAGAUUACUCUCCACUACAAGAUUAGCCCUUCAAGUGAUGUAUGGAUGUUUCAGACUACCCAAAUGCUUAAUGGACAGCUGCAAAGAGCCAACAACAAACCACUUGAUUGAGACGAUGACCUUUUUGGUCCGUCCACCAGCUGAAGAACGACUGUGUCAUACAUGGG